Molecule: ribosomal RNA, 464 nt
Filed under: uncultured microorganism
Description: bacterial SSU rRNA
Rfam family: Bacterial small subunit ribosomal RNA
Source: RNAcentral
GAGUUUGAUCCUGGCUCAGAGCGAACGCUGGCGGCAGGCCUAACACAUGCAAGUCGAACGAACUCUUCGGAGUUAGUGGCGGACGGGUGAGUAACACGUGGGAACGUGCCUUUUGGUUCGGAAUAACUCAGGGAAACUUGUGCUAAUACCGAAUGUGCCCUUCGGGGAAGAUUUAUCGCCAUUAGAGCGGCCCGCGUCUGAUUAGCUAGUUGGUGAGGUAAAGGCUCACCAAGGCGACGAUCAGUAGCUGGUCUGAGAGGAUGAUCAGCCACAUUGGGACUGAGACACGGCCCAAACUCCUACGGGAAGCAGCAGUGGGGAAUCUUGCGCAAUGGGCGAAAGCCUGACGCAGCCAUGCCGCGUGAAUGAUGAAGGUCUUAGGAUUGUAAAAUUCUUUCACCGGGGACGAUAAUGACGGUACCCGGAGAAGAAGCCCCGGCUAACUUCGUGCCAGCCGCCGCAGU